GGUCGUCACUCGAUCCAUCCAGACUCUUCGCUCACGUUCGCGUUUGCUCUCUCUUCUCGUUGCUGAGCACGUCGCUUGCCGCUGCUCCUGCCGUCGCCCGCGUGAGCCGCCGUGCGCCGCGCGCUGCUGCCGCCGCGCCGUCCGCCGACCGAGCCUGGCCUGCCGUCGCCGUCCUGCUCACCGCGUGCCUACGCCACCGCGCCUCGUGCUGUCCGCCUGCCGCGCGCGCGCCGCAUGCAGCUGCGCGCCACUUGCCGCCGUGCUUUGUGCCGGCUGCUGUGUUUUGUGCUGGCCACCGUGAGAGAAGGAAGAAGCAAGCCACAGAGCCAGCGCAGGAAGAAGAAGCCAGGAAAGAGAAAGGAAGAAAGAGGAAAAAAAAAAGAAGAAGAGAAAAAGAGAAAAAAAAAAAGAAAAAGGGGAAAGUUGGAAAUUUCGGAUUUUCGUCGGAUUCGUCGUCAAUUUUUCGAAGGCGAUUUCUCGGUGGUACUAUUUCUGGACGUUCUUGAUCGAAAUUUUCUUCAUCGUCGGUAAAGGCAAGUGAAUGUAUUGUAUGACUACGCUUUAACCUGUUAUUGGGUUACCUACAUUCUUUAAUUACAAUGCAUUCAUCUGAUCUGAAUAACUGAUUAUGAGCUGGUUACUAUGCUGUUUACUUUUCCAGAAGUUUACUCGAUGAUUGAUCUAUGAAGUGCAGUAAGUACGAUAUGCCAUUCUGCAGUUGUUCAUUAUUGUUUUAUGCAAUGUUGUUUUAAGUCUCAAGCAUUUUUCGGGAGUUAUGUCGGUUAUGCUUGAAGCACGUCAUACAUAUAUAUCUCAUGCAUUGGAAGUUUGUCGUCGUCUUCUGGCCGCGACCGUACCGGUACAGUACCGUAUGUCACCCGAGGAGGGGUACGGUGCACACCCUUACGUUACCCGAGGAGGGGUAUGUUUAGAUGUUGACGUGCAUUUUGGGGAUGGAUCUUGGUAGCUGCACACACUACCUCAUCACCAUGUUGAUAGCUCAACCGGUGUUAUAAAUGGUGUUUUUGGUGGUCUGUCGUUUGCUUGGUUCAUGUUGUGGUGAGACGCUGGUAGCGUCGUGAAGGUUAUAUAUAUGCUGGUUAUAUCUGUUUCUGCCUGUCUGUGAUA
Long non-coding RNA from Phragmites australis (common reed), 1128 nucleotides. RefSeq lists it as uncharacterized. NCBI's taxonomy places the organism in Eukaryota, Viridiplantae, Streptophyta, Magnoliopsida, Poales, Poaceae. The transcript is spliced from 3 exons. The record is from RefSeq and is a predicted model, not a curated record.